Molecule: ribosomal RNA, 719 nt
Filed under: uncultured Chaetomiaceae
Lineage: Eukaryota; Fungi; Ascomycota; Sordariomycetes; Sordariales
Description: eukaryotic LSU rRNA
Rfam family: Eukaryotic large subunit ribosomal RNA (bases 185-719)
Source: RNAcentral
GGCGGGCAUGCCUGUUCGAGCGUCAUUUCAACCAUCAAGCCCCAGGCUUGUGUUGGGGACCUGCGGCUGCCGCAGGCCCUGAAAACCAGUGGCGGGCUCGCUGUCACACCGGGCGUAGUAGAUUUUAUCUCGCUCUGGGCGUGCUGCGGGUUCCGGCCGUUAAAAAACCCUUUUAACCCAAGGUUGACCUCGGAUCAGGUAGGAAUACCCGCUGAACUUAAGCAUAUCAAUAAGCGGAGGAAAAGAAACCAACAGGGAUUGCCCCAGUAACGGCGAGUGAAGCGGCAACAGCUCAAAUUUGAAAUCUGGCUUCGGCCCGAGUUGUAAUUUGCAGAGGAAGCUUUAGGCGCGGCACCAUCUGAGUCCCCUGGAACGGGGCGCCAAAGAGGGUGAGAGCCCCGUAUAGAUGGACGCCUAGCCUGUGUAAAGCUCCUUCGACGAGUCGAGUAGUUUGGGAAUGCUGCUCAAAAUGGGAGGUAAAUUUCUUCUAAAGCUAAAUAUUGGCCAGAGACCGAUAGCGCACAAGUAGAGUGAUCGAAAGAUGAAAAGCACUUUGAAAAGAGGGUUAAAUAGCACGUGAAAUUGUUGAAAGGGAAGCGCUUGUGACCAGACUUGCGCCGGGCGGAUCAUCCGGUGUUCUCACCGGUGCACUCCGCCCGGCUCAGGCCAGCAUCGGUUCUCGUGGGGGGAUAAAGGCACCGGGAACGUAGCUCCUCCGG